AAAUUGAAGAGUUUGAUCAUGGCUCAGAUUGAACGCUGGCGGCAGGCCUAACACAUGCAAGUCGAACGGUAACAGAAAGCAGCUUGCUGCUUUGCUGACGAGUGGCGGACGGGUGAGUAAUGUCUGGGAAACUGCCCGAUGGAGGGGGAUAACUACUGGAAACGGUAGCUAAUACCGCAUAACGUCGCAAGACCAAAGAGGGGGACCUUAGGGCCUCUUGCCAUCGGAUGUGCCCAGAUGGGAUUAGCUAGUAGGUGGGGUAACGGCUCACCUAGGCGACGAUCCCUAGCUGGUCUGAGAGGAUGACCAGCCACACUGGAACUGAGACACGGUCCAGACUCCUACGGGAGGCAGCAGUGGGGAAUAUUGCACAAUGGGCGCAAGCCUGAUGCAGCCAUGCCGCGUGUAUGAAGAAGGCCUUCGGGUUGUAAAGUACUUUCAGCGGGGAGGAAGGGAGUAAAGUUAAUACCUUUGCUCAUUGACGUUACCCGCAGAAGAAGCACCGGCUAACUCCGUGCCAGCAGCCGCGGUAAUACGGAGGGUGCAAGCGUUAAUCGGAAUUACUGGGCGUAAAGCGCACGCAGGCGGUUUGUUAAGUCAGAUGUGAAAUCCCCGGGCUCAACCUGGGAACUGCAUCUGAUACUGGCAAGCUUGAGUCUCGUAGAGGGGGGUAGAAUUCCAGGUGUAGCGGUGAAAUGCGUAGAGAUCUGGAGGAAUACCGGUGGCGAAGGCGGCCCCCUGGACGAAGACUGACGCUCAGGUGCGAAAGCGUGGGGAGCAAACAGGAUUAGAUACCCUGGUAGUCCACGCCGUAAACGAUGUCGACUUGGAGGUUGUGCCCUUGAGGCGUGGCUUCCGGAGCUAACGCGUUAAGUCGACCGCCUGGGGAGUACGGCCGCAAGGUUAAAACUCAAAUGAAUUGACGGGGGCCCGCACAAGCGGUGGAGCAUGUGGUUUAAUUCGAUGCAACGCGAAGAACCUUACCUGGUCUUGACAUCCACGGAAGUUUUCAGAGAUGAGAAUGUGCCUUCGGGAACCGUGAGACAGGUGCUGCAUGGCUGUCGUCAGCUCGUGUUGUGAAAUGUUGGGUUAAGUCCCGCAACGAGCGCAACCCUUAUCCUUUGUUGCCAGCGGUCCGGCCGGGAACUCAAAGGAGACUGCCAGUGAUAAACUGGAGGAAGGUGGGGAUGACGUCAAGUCAUCAUGGCCCUUACGACCAGGGCUACACACGUGCUACAAUGGCGCAUACAAAGAGAAGCGACCUCGCGAGAGCAAGCGGACCUCAUAAAGUGCGUCGUAGUCCGGAUUGGAGUCUGCAACUCGACUCCAUGAAGUCGGAAUCGCUAGUAAUCGUGGAUCAGAAUGCCACGGUGAAUACGUUCCCGGGCCUUGUACACACCGCCCGUCACACCAUGGGAGUGGGUUGCAAAAGAAGUAGGUAGCUUAACCUUCGGGAGGGCGCUUACCACUUUGUGAUUCAUGACUGGGGUGAAGUCGUAACAAGGUAACCGUAGGGGAACCUGCGGUUGGAUCACCUCCUUA
This 1542-nucleotide ribosomal RNA is filed under the name Escherichia coli. RNAcentral's name for it is "bacterial SSU rRNA". It matches the Rfam family "Bacterial small subunit ribosomal RNA". The record is from RNAcentral. Lineage: Bacteria; Pseudomonadati; Pseudomonadota; Gammaproteobacteria; Enterobacterales; Enterobacteriaceae.